This 457-nucleotide long non-coding RNA is filed under the name Homo sapiens (human). Its description in RNAcentral is "non-protein coding lnc-CKAP2L-1:1". The record is from RNAcentral. Lineage: Eukaryota; Metazoa; Chordata; Mammalia; Primates; Hominidae.
CGGGACAGCCCCCUCCCUGCGGCCUCGCCCUGGAGUCUCGGCACCGUCUGGCCCCGCCGGCUGAUUACAGCCAGAGAUCGAGGGGGACCUCGCUGUCCCCCUAGAGGCCGUCAUGCGGGGUUACAGAGGCUGCGACCAAAGUCAUUCCUAGCUCCUCUCUCGGGGCUCCGGAAAGCCGUCCGCGCCUCCAGCCGCACUUUCAGCGCACGCAGGACCUGCCGCGCCCGGUGGCCACACCCGUCCCUCUGCCGGGUGACGCUGCGGGAGAUCUUGCGCCCUGGGGCUCCGGAUCCAGUUCUGACAGAGAAACGGAGGCACAGAGAAGGAAGCGGCAGUUAAAGCUGCGAAGAACCUAACAAAUUUCAAGAUUGUAAGUGCCUUUUCCCAGGAUGCCAGCAAGUACUGAGCCUGUAUUUUGAGCUGCAUCAAACCCUGUUGGAAUAAAAAAGGACAUUUC